GUAGGUGGCAAGCGUUGUCCGGAAUUAUUGGGCGUAAAGCGCGCGCAGGCGGUCCUUUAAGUCUGAUGUGAAAGCCCACGGCUCAACCGUGGAGGGUCAUUGGAAACUGGGGGACUUGAGUACAGAAGAGGAAAGCGGAAUUCCAAGUGUAGCGGUGAAAUGCGUAGAGAUUUGGGGGAACACCAGUGGCGAAGGCGGCUUUCUGGUCUGUAACUGACGCUGAGGCGCGAAAGCGUGGGGAGCAAACAGGAUUAGAUACCCUGGUAGUCCACGCCGUAAACGAUGAGUGCUAAGUGUUAGGGGGUUUCCCGCCCCCCUUAGUGCUGCAGCUAACGCAUUAAGCACUCCGCCUGGGGGAGUACGGCCGCAAGGCUG
Molecule: ribosomal RNA, 375 nt
Filed under: uncultured organism
Description: partial 16S ribosomal RNA
Rfam family: Bacterial small subunit ribosomal RNA
Source: RNAcentral